AACGAACGCUGGCGGCAUGCCUAACACAUGCAAGUCGAACGAGACCUUCGGGUCUAGUGGCGCACGGGUGCGUAACGCGUGGGAACCUGCCCUUAGGUUCGGCAUAACUCCCCGAAAGGGGUGCUAAUACCGGAUAAUGUCUUCGGACCAAAGAUUUAUCGCCUUUGGAUGGGCCCGCGUUGGAUUAGCUAGUUGGUAGGGUAAAAGCCUACCAAGGCGACGAUCCAUAGCUGGUCUGAGAGGAUGAUCAGCCACACUGGGACGGAGACACGGCCCAGACUCCUACGGGAGGCAGCAGUGGGGAAUAUUGGACAAUGGGCGAAAGCCUGAUCCAGCAAUGCCGCGUGAGUGAUGAAGGCCUUAGGGUUGUAAAGCGCUUUUACCCGGGAUGAUAAUGACAGUACCGGGAGAAUAAGCUCCGGCUAACUCCGUG
This 433-nucleotide ribosomal RNA is filed under the name uncultured bacterium. RNAcentral describes it as "partial 16S ribosomal RNA". It matches the Rfam family "Bacterial small subunit ribosomal RNA", at positions 29 to 507 of the family's 1533-position model. The record is from RNAcentral.